UGAUUGGUGUUGAUGAGUUUACCAUAGA
RNAcentral lists this non-coding RNA (28 nucleotides) under Rattus norvegicus (Norway rat). The record is from RNAcentral. Lineage: Eukaryota; Metazoa; Chordata; Mammalia; Rodentia; Muridae.